Molecule: ribosomal RNA, 253 nt
Filed under: uncultured bacterium
Lineage: Bacteria
Description: partial 16S ribosomal RNA
Rfam family: Bacterial small subunit ribosomal RNA
Source: RNAcentral
CACGGGGGGAGCAAGCGUUGUUCGGAAUCACUGGGCGUAAAGGGCGUGCAGGCGGUCAGGUAAGUGGGAUGUGAAAUGCCCCGGCUCACCCGGGGACCGGCAUCUCAUACUGCUUGGCUUGAGUACGGGAGAGGAUGUGGGAAUUCCUGGUGUAGCGGUGAAAUGCGUAGAUAUCAGGAGGAACACCGGUGGCGAAGGCGCACAUCUGGCCCGAUACUGACGCUGAGGCGCGAAAGCUAGGGGAGCAAACAGG